RNAcentral lists this ribosomal RNA (250 nucleotides) under uncultured prokaryote. RNAcentral describes it as "partial 16S ribosomal RNA". It matches the Rfam family "Bacterial small subunit ribosomal RNA", at positions 524 to 774 of the family's 1533-position model. The record is from RNAcentral.
UACGUAGGUGGCAAGCGUUAUCCGGAUUUAUUGGGCGUAAAGGGUCCGCAGGCGGUCUUUUAAGUUUGUGGUGAAAGCGUGGGGCUCAACCCCAUAUAGCCUCAGAUACUGGAAGACUAGAGUGCAGAAGAGGUAAGCGGAAUUCCAUGUGUAGCGGUAAAAUGCGUAGAUAUAUGGAGGAACACCGGUGGCGAAGGCGGCUUACUGGUCUGCAACUGACGUUCAGGGACGAAAGCGUGGGGAGCAAAUA